GUAGGGAAUCUUCCGCAAUGGACGCAAGUCUGACGGAGCAACGCCGCGUGAGUGACGAAGGUUUUCGGAUCGUAAAACUCUGUUGUGAGGGAAGAACACGUACCAACUAACUAUUGGUACCUUGACGGUACCUCACCAGAAAGCCACGGCUAACUACGUGCCAGCAGCCGCGGUAAUACGUAGGUGGCAAGCGUUGUCCGGAAUUAUUGGGCGUAAAGCGCGCGCAGGCGGUUCCUUAAGUCUGAUGUGAAAGCCCACGGCUCAACCGUGGAGGGUCAUUGGAAACUGGGGAACUUGAGUGCAGAAGAGGAAAGUGGAAUUCCACGUGUAGCGGUGAAAUGCGUAGAGAUGUGGAGGAACACCAGUGGCGAAGGCGACUUUCUGGUCUGUAACUGACGCUGAGGCGCGAAAGCGUGGGGAGCAAACAGGAUUAGAAACCCGUGUAGUCC
RNAcentral lists this ribosomal RNA (449 nucleotides) under uncultured bacterium. RNAcentral's name for it is "bacterial SSU rRNA". It matches the Rfam family "Bacterial small subunit ribosomal RNA", at positions 354 to 796 of the family's 1533-position model. The record is from RNAcentral.